This 465-nucleotide ribosomal RNA is filed under the name uncultured bacterium. RNAcentral describes it as "partial 16S ribosomal RNA". It matches the Rfam family "Bacterial small subunit ribosomal RNA", at positions 28 to 507 of the family's 1533-position model. The record is from RNAcentral.
GACGAACGCUGGCGGCGUGCUUAACACAUGCAAGUCGAACGGAAAGGCCCCCUUGUGGGGUACUCGAGUGGCGAACGGGUGAGUAACACGUGAGUAACCUACCCUUGACUUUGGGAUAACUUCAGGAAACUGGGGCUAAUACCGGAUAGGAGCUCCUGCUGCAUGGUGGGGGUUGGAAAGUUUCGGCGGUUGGGGAUGGACUCGCGGCUUAUCAGCUUGUUGGUGGGGUAGUGGCUCACCAAGGCUUUGACGGGUAGCCGGCCUGAGAGGGUGACCGGCCACAUUGGGACUGAGAUACGGCCCAGACUCCUACGGGAGGCAGCAGUGGGGAAUAUUGCACAAUGGGCGGAAGCCUGAGGCAGCAACGCCGCGUGCGGGAUGACGGCCUUCGGGUUGUAAACCGCUUUCGCCUGUGACGAAGCGUGAGUGACGGUAAUGGGUAAAGAAGCACCGGCUAACUACGUG